GCCUGAGUGGCUCAGUCGGUUGAGCGUCUGACUUCGGCUCAGGUCAUGAUCUUGAGGUUCGUGGGUUCGAGCCCCACGUCGGGCU
Transfer RNA from Felis catus (domestic cat), 85 nucleotides. It matches the Rfam family "tRNA". Rfam says of the family: Transfer RNA (tRNA) molecules are approximately 80 nucleotides in length. Their secondary structure includes four short double-helical elements and three loops (D, anti-codon, and T loops). NCBI's taxonomy places the organism in Eukaryota, Metazoa, Chordata, Mammalia, Carnivora, Felidae. The record is from Rfam.